UACGUAGGGACCAAGCGUUGUUCGGAUUUACUGGGCGUAAAGGGCGCGUAGGCGGCCACUGCAAGUCAGUUGUGAAAUCUCCGGGCUUAACCCGGAAAGGUCAACUGAUACUGCAGGGCUAGAGUGCAGAAGGGGCAACUGGAAUUCUCGGUGUAGCGGUGAAAUGCGUAGAUAUCGAGAGGAACACCUGCGGCGAAGGCGGGUUGCUGGGCUGACACUGACGCUGAUGUGCGAAAGCUAGGGGAGCGAACGGG
Molecule: ribosomal RNA, 254 nt
Filed under: uncultured bacterium
Lineage: Bacteria
Description: partial 16S ribosomal RNA
Rfam family: Bacterial small subunit ribosomal RNA
Source: RNAcentral